This is a non-coding RNA of Xyrichtys novacula (pearly razorfish), 85 nucleotides long. The record is from the annotation of a GenBank genome assembly. Lineage: Eukaryota; Metazoa; Chordata; Actinopteri; Labriformes; Labridae.
UUGCGCCUGAGUCGAUAUGAAGUUGAGCUGAAGCUAACACUACCCAGGCAUCCUCCAGUUCAACUUCAUAUCGACUCAGGCGCUA